GCCCAAACCAAGAGGCUUGCCUCUUGGGGUUGUAGGACACUCUAUACGGAGUUACAAAGGAAUGAUAUAAGCGAAGAGGUCUGGAAAGGCCCGCCAAAGAAGGUAACAGCCCUGUAACUGAAAUGUUGUUCUCUCCAGAGUGGAUCCUGAGUACGGCGGAACACGUGAAAUUCCGUCGGAAUCCGGGAGGACCAUCUCCCAAGGCUAAAUACUCCCUAGUGACCGAUAGUGAACCAGUACCGUGAGGGAAAGGUG
RNAcentral lists this ribosomal RNA (255 nucleotides) under Bacillus stratosphericus. Its description in RNAcentral is "partial 23S ribosomal RNA". It matches the Rfam family "Bacterial large subunit ribosomal RNA", at positions 267 to 516 of the family's 2925-position model. Lineage: Bacteria; Bacillati; Bacillota; Bacilli; Caryophanales; Bacillaceae. The record is from RNAcentral.